AUAAUGCGUUUCCUCCGGUUUCCGGUGAUUGUGGUCUGUAAGUCCAAGUUCCAAUUGCCUGUUUUGAACUGUGAAAGGGUUGGUAGACUAGGAGGUGUUUGUAGCAUUCGGAUAGUUGCUUGAAUUUUGGUGGGAGUUUUCCCGCUAUCCCAAUCUGUUCCCAGGGUGAGAGCAUCUUUGGUUUGUGACUAUUUUCUGCCCUGUCUUUGUUCCUACGGUGUAAGAAGGAUUUGAGUUGGACGUAUGAAAAUUGCGAUGUGGGAGGUCAUAUUUGGAACGGAGUUUUGAGAAAUCCAUUACUUUGCCUGCUUCAAAGACAUGUGACAGGUGUGUGGCCCCCUUUACAUUUUAACUUUUUAAACAUUUUAACAGGUCACGUUACAUUUUAACACAGGACCCCUUAUUUGAUAGCAGCUUCACAAGUCUUGCAUCCAUUGAACUUGUGAGUUUUUGGACAGUUUCUG
Molecule: non-coding RNA, 464 nt
Organism: Pelobates cultripes (western spadefoot toad)
Lineage: Eukaryota; Metazoa; Chordata; Amphibia; Anura; Pelobatidae
Source: the annotation of a GenBank genome assembly